RNAcentral lists this long non-coding RNA (8251 nucleotides) under Homo sapiens (human). RNAcentral describes it as "non-protein coding PLS3-AS1:6". The record is from RNAcentral. Lineage: Eukaryota; Metazoa; Chordata; Mammalia; Primates; Hominidae.
AGUUGGAAUUCACCAUGAACUGCAUCUCGAGGAUCAAGUUUAGGCUCCCCAGUCCAUUGUGACAUCCAGCAAAGUGGAGGUCUCACUCUGUCACCCAAGUUGGAAUGCAGCAGCAUGAUCACAGCUCAUUGCAGCCUUGACUUCCCAGUCUCAAGCAAUCCUCCCAUCUCAGCCUCUUGAGUAGCUGGGACCACAGGCACACACCACCAUUUAGCCAGGCGUGGUGGUGUGUGCCUGUGGUCCCAGCUACAGUGUCUCUCUAUAUUGUCCAGCCUUGUCUCGAACUCCUGGGCUCAAGUAAUCUUCUGUCUCAACAUCCCAAAGUAAUUUCCCAAAAAAGGCUGCCAGAAGACCUGCUGUUUUUCUUUGACCACUUCGGAAAAGUCGGUGGGGUUGUCGACGUGGAGCAGAGCCUCCUCCUCUACUGCUACCACCAGCACACGACCACACACUCUGUCUUGGAGGCCACCAUCUGGCCUUGCUGCUCCCACUUUCUCGUCCUCACGCACUGGGUGAUCUUCACCAUCGGGAACUGGGGGCAAGCAGGGGUGCAGGCUGGAUUGCAGCGUAAGGUUGGUCUGUUUUGUGACAUUGAUGAGAACAAGCUCACGGGCCUCUACUGCUAGGGGAAUCUCAGGAAAAGCCCAGGGUUCCAAUCUACCCACUGCCCUUCAUCAUCUGUGUGAAGCUGGGCUUCACAUAUGCAGGGGGCCAGAAGGUCGACCAGAAGGGUGAGUUUGAGGAUAACCCGAGGCCUCCUGAACCUGCAGGAGGACUGGGACUUCCUUCCCUUCCUCUGAGAAACCUGCAGCAGCCACUGUCAGGCAACAGUCGUGACAACUUGCAGCUGUUGUCUGCUGCUGCAUCUCCGGGCUUUUGAGACCUUCCAGGCAUGAUUUGUCCCUUUACAACAUUCACCUUUUGUGUUAAGUGCUCAGUUCAGCCCCUUGGACCUGGAGGAUAUGACAGUAGCUAUCUUGUAUGUGUAGUCCCGCAGGAGAGGAGCCUGUCCCACCAGUGUGGCAAUAGCCAUCAGGGUCUCACUGUGGACCAAAACUGUCCCUGGACACAGGCUGCCUGGUCCUUUUGGACCCCAGGCCUUGGCUAUGGGCUCAGGACCUCCUUGUAUGUGACUUUGGCCAGUCAAGGGGACUCUGUGCUAGUCUUUUUCAUCUAAAAUGGGAAGCAAGAAGGAGGGUUUUUGCUUGUUUGUUUGUUUUGUUGUUUUGAGAUGGAAUUUUGCUCUUGUUGCCCAGGCUGGAGUGCAAUGGCACAAUCUCGGCUCACCGCAACCUCCACCUCCUGGGUUCAAGCGAUUCUCCCGCUUCAACCUCCCGAGUAGCUGAGAUUACAGGCAUGCGCCACCACGCCUGGCUAAUUUUGUAUUUUUAGUAGAGAUGGGGUUUCACUAUAUUGGCCAGGCUGGUCUGGUCUCGAACUCCUGACCUCAUGAUCUGCCAGCCUCGGCCUCCCAAAGUGCUGGGAUUACAGGUGUGAGCCACCACACCUGGCUGAGGGAGGCAUGUUUUAAGGCUUGAAUGAAAUAGAAGUUAAUCUGCAAAGUUAAAAAACUAAAAAUCCAUAAUGUAUUUUGAUAAAAAUUUACUUCCUAGCUUUUUUUUUUUUUUUCUUGAGACUAGGUCUCACCGUAUCACCCAGGCUGGAGUGAUGGGAUCAUGGCUCACUGCAGACCUCAAACUCCUGGGCUCAAGGAAUCCUUCUACCUUAGCCUCCUGAGUAGCAGUGUCAACAGGCAUGUACCACCACCUCCGGCUAAGUUGUUUUAUUCUUUUUUAGAUACAAACUCUCCCUUUGUUGCUCAGUCUGGUCUCGAACUCCUGGCUUCAAGCAAUCCUUCUGCCUCAGUCUCCCCAAUUGCUAGGAUUACAGGCUUGAGCCAUCUCACCGGCCCUAACCUUUUUAAAAAAUGUGUUUUUGGGAAACUUUUCACCCAUUGAAAAUCAGCAAUCUUCAUUUUUUGUUUUCUGAAAGAACACCUUUAUGAAUAUUUUUAUGGGUUGUCAAACAAAUAUACUUAGUAGACUAAUUUAUGGCAGAAUUCGAGAAACAGGGCAGCCCAAGCUAUGAAAUUGCACCCUGUGUUAUUUGGGAGGCUUGUGUGCUUGAGUUGCCAAACUAAGCUGCACAACUGUUCUAAGCUCUUGACUGCAUUGGCUUUUGCGUGACCAUUUUCCUUCUUGCUCCACGUUGAUUUUAGACAUCUUUGAAAAAUUAUCAUUUUCAGAUGUUUGGACAAAGAGGAAAAUUGUUGCCUUGGCUCCAAUAUCAAUUCCUUUCAUAACACUAAAUAUGCCAUUGCUACUAGAGUUUUGGUUCUCCGUUUCUCCCUGAGGACAUUGGUAUUAAGAAGAGAUUUGGCUCAAGCUACCUGAUCAUACCUAUCUUGUAUAUAGUUGCUAAUACAAUAUGAUUAGCAAGACUUGGGUAUAAUGUUACAGUGGUGUGGUAACAGAAUUCUGAUUUAUUCUACAGGCCCUUUGGCCAUUUUGUUAUUUUCCCCAUUCACGUCUAUUUUUUGUAUUUCUAAGAAAAAGAAUGUUACGGUUAGGUUAUAACUAUGUGGCACCACCACAAUUAUCAUUUUCUAUUCAAUUUAAAAUUUUGACUGUCAUAAAAUGCAAGCUUUACUGAAUUAGAAUCAUUCUGGAUUGUCUUGUUCCUUAGGACAACGUAAUAGCCAGACCUACAAGUUCUGAGUCUGGUUAUUAAUGUAAUUCAACCAGUCAGGCAGUGAUCCAGUCCAUUGUUCAGCCACUGAACCCCAACAAAAAGCUAAUUUCAUCAGUUAUAUCAAUCUUGUCUAAAGAUUUAUAACUUGAGUAGCAUUAUUUCAGCAGACUCAUUUUCCAUAGGGCAUCUGGAAAAUGAAGAUACUAUAGAAAACGAAAAUAAAAGUAGGGAAAAGAAGGAUGAUCAUUAGAUGUGUUCACCAUGUUUCCUUCCAGUUCUGUUUUUAUCAUAUGACUACACAAUUUGUUCAAGUCCAGAUAAAUUAUUGCUUCCCACAGGUCAUCAUUCCUUCCACUCAUGUCAAAACUAUUCAUCAUCAUCUCCAAAGUGUGUUUUGACUUAUGCUGUGCUUUGUAAAGGAUACACCCAAGGUUGGAGGUGAAAUAUGUGUCAGAGACUAGGAGUACAAAAAUUAGAUGUUUGGCUUUGUUCAUGGAUACUCCCCAAGUUUGAUCAUGUACUUUCAUGCUUCUGACCAUAUGCAGUCUGUUCCUUUUGUAUAAAACACCCAAUGAUUCCCUUGCACAGCUGGUUAAUUUUUCAAAGUCCUUUGAGAAGCAAACCAGUGUCACUUCUUCCAGAAUGUCUUUCUUGACUUUAACCCACUGGUAAUAAUUUAUUCAAUAACAACUCUCAUUUUUUUAGCAAUUUCCAUGGGCCAGAAAAUGUACUGUUUUGAAGUUAUUAUCCUUCCUGACUAUCCCUAAAUCAGUAUUUAAUUAUCACAACUACAUUAGGAAGCAGAUACUACCCCAACUUCCCAAAGAGGAAACUGCUGUUUAAAGAGAUUAAGUAACUUUCUUAAGGCCACACAGCCAGUACAUGGUAGAGGCAAGAUUUGAACCUGACUUCUGUAGUCUAUGUUCUAAGCCACUAGAGCAUAUGGUUUGGCUCUGUAUCCCCACCCAAAUCUCAUCUCAAAUUGUAAUCCCCACUUGUCAAGAAAGGGAGGUGAUUGGAUUGUGGGGGUGGUUUCUCGCAUGUUGUUCUCAUGAUAGUGAGUGAAUUCUCAAGAGAUCUGGUUGUUUGAUAAGUGUGAGGCUCUUCUUCCUUCGUGCACUGGCUCUCUCUCUCUCUCUAUCUCACCUGCCGACAAAUAAAACAUGCCUGCUUCCCCUUCCACCUUGAUUGUAAGUUUCCUGAGGCCUCCCCAGCCAUGCAGAACUGAGUCAAUUAAACCUCUUUUCUUUAUAAAUUACCCAGUCUCAGGGAAGUUCUUUAUAUCCGUGUGAAAACAGACUAAUACAAGUAUUGUUUCCCAAAGAGCAGCACGUGAACCACUGCAGCUAUGAGAUAAUUUUCAAUGGACAUGUUUACAUGAAUAAUUUUCUAUUAUUUCUUCUUUUUUUUGCAAAACAUUCAGAAAAUAAGAAAACAAAUAAAUUCUCAGCAUUUUGCCGAAUUUUCUUUGUAUUUUUAUUUUGAAGAAAAUAAACAUUACAUAUAGAGUUAGAGACCUCUUUGUGGCUCUCCGAGAUCUCAUUCCUUUCCAAUCCUCCUCAGAGGUAAUCAUUAUCCUAAAUUUAGUGUUUAUCAUUCCACUUCAAGUUUUUAAAUGACUACUAAGUACGUAUUUAUCAAUAUACAAUAUGUAGUAUUGUUUUACUUGUCUUCAAACUUUAUGUAAAUAUCAUACCACAUGUGUUAUUCUGCAGCUUGUUUCAUUCACUCAACAUUUAGUUAUCGAUAUUUAUUUAUUUGAUACACUUGGCCUCUGUUCAUGCAUUUCAAAUGCUGAACAUCAUUUCAUUGCAUCAAAAUGUCACUAGUUUAUUUAUACAUUCUCCUUUUGACUGACAUAUAUAUUACUUCCAAUGUUUGAUAUUAUAAAUAAUGCUGCACUUAGCAUUCUGUUGCAUGUCUUCUUGUGCACAUGUGCUAGAUUUCUUCCAGGUACAAAGAAGCAGAAUUGUAGAUAUACAUUAUAUGUAUCUUCAACCUUACAAAAUAUUACCAAAUUGCUCUCUGAAUGUGUCAAUUUCCAUUCCCACCAGCAGUUUAUGAGAAUUCCCUUUUCUCAAAAUCUUUAACCAACUUCUUAAGUUUUCCAGUCUUCUGAGUGGGAAAUGUUAUUUUGUAGUUUUAAAUUUGCAUUUCCUGAUAUUAGUGAUGUUAAAGGGGUUUAUUAGAAUAACGCCAUGAAAGGGGUUUAUUGGCCAUUUGGAUUUCUUCUUUUGUGAAUUGCUCAUUAUCCCUAUGAAAAUUAUUUAUUUUUAAAAUUUAUAUAGAGUAAAAUUCACUAUUUUUGGUACAUGCUAUGAGUAUUUGACCAAUGCAUAGAGUUGUGUAAUUAUCACCACAGACAAGAUAUAUGAAAUAAUAUCCCUUUGUAGUCAACUCCUUUCUUUAUGCACAAUCCCUGGAAACUGCUGAUUUCUUCUCCAUCCCAAUGGUUUUGUCUUAUCCAAAAUGUCAUAUAAAUGGAUUACACAGCAUGUAGAUUUUGGGUAUCUGGUUUCUUUCACUUAGCAUAAUGUGUUUACGAUUCCUCCAUGUUGUUAUGUAUUUCAAUAGAUUGUUCUUUGUUGCUGAGUGGAAUUCCAUUGUAUGGAUGUACUACCAUGUAUUUGUUAAUUUACCAGUUGAAGGGGUAUUUUAGAUUAUGAAUAAAGUUGCUAUGAAAUUUUGCAUAUAAGUUUUUGUGAGGCAUAUGUUUUCAUUUCUCAUGGGACUGCUGGGUCUGAGACUAGGUAAUUUAUAAAGAAAAGAAUUUUAUUUAGCUUGUUGUUCUGCAUGCCAGGAAAUUCGAGGACACGACCUUGGCUUCUGGCCAAGGCUACAUGUUGCAUCAUAACAUAGCAGAGAAGGUCAAGGGGAAGUGGACACAUGCAAAGAGACAAAACCAACAGGCAUCCUGGCUUUAUAACAACCCACUCUCCUUGGAAUUAAUCCAUUCCUGGAUAAUUAAUCUAGUCUUGUGAGAGCAAUAACUCAUCCAUUACCUCUAGAAGGGCACCAAGCCAUUCAUAAUGGCUCUGCCCCCACGAACCAAAUGCCUCCCACUAAGCCCCAUCUACCAACACUGCCACAUUCGGGAUAAAAUUUCAGUAUGAAUUUUGGUGAGGACAAACAAACCAUAUCCGAUCCAUAGAAGCUUGUGUAAAUAAUGAUACGUAGUUUUCCUUUAAUCUGUUAAUAUCGUAAUUUAUAUAAUUAGAUUUCCCAAUUUUGACCCAUUCUUUCAUUCUUGUGGAAAAUGCUACCAUGUUGAAUUAUAUCAGGUUUUUAUACACUGUUCAACUUCAUAUUCUUGUAUUCUUUUUUUUUUUUUUUUUUUGAGACAGAAACUCACUCUGUCUCCCAGGCUGGAGUGCAGUGGCUCAAACAAGGCUCACUGCAGCCUCGACUUCCAGGGCUCAGGUGAUUCUCCCACCUCAGCCUCCUGAGUAGCUCGGACUACAGGUGUGUGUCACCAUGCCUGGCUAAUUUUCAUAUUUUUUUGUGGGGAUAGGGUUUCACUGUGUUGCUCAGGCUUGUCUUGAACUCCUAGGCUCAAGUAAUCCGCCCACCUCAGUCUCCCACAUUGCUAGGAUUACAGGUGUGAGCCACCACACCUGGCUGAUAUUCUUGUGUUCUGUUUAGGAUACUUUGCACUCAUGUGCAUAUGAGAAUUUGGUCUUAUACUGUAUAUAUUUCUUAUACCAAAAUCAUCUGGAUUCGGUAUCCAAGUCGUAUAUAGGCCUCAGGGCAUGAGCUGGGUACCCCCUCUCUUUCUAGUUUCUAAAUUAGGUUCUAUGAAUAGUAACUAUCUCUGCCUGAUGGUUUUAGUAAAACUUGCAUGUAUAUCUGCAAGGCCCUGGUAUCUGUUUUGAGUAUGGUAAGGGAGAAGACUUGUUCACAUACUCAGUUUAAUGAUUACCAGUUUAUUUAGGUUUUUUGUUUCUUCUUAAUCAGCUUGGUUUAAUAAUUAAUUAAUUAAUUUUAAUCUUCACAACCUACUCCCAUUUUUGUCUUCAACCUAUAAAUAAUUAUUUAAAUGACAUUUUAUUUAACAUUGAAUAUGUGUUUGAUAUGUAUUCUUGUUUGUGUUACUGCCAAAUAUGUGGAGAUUUUUAUACACAUGGGUUUUAAUUUAGGAAAAUGGUAUUCUGUUACACAUUGUAUCUCAUUCUGUGCCCUACUUUUCUACUCAGCAGUAUGUUUUAAAGAUCUAUUUAAGGUGUGGUAAGUGAUUCUAAUGCAUUGCUUCUAACUGCUGCAUUAGAACUUCAUGAAACAUUUGUGUGUACCAUAUUUUACCUGUCCACUUUUCUAAUGAGGAACUUUCUGGUUACCUUCAUCUUCCUGAUGCCAUAAACAAUUCUGACGUGAAUGUUUUGUCUGUGUCUUCUUAUUGGCCUUUGUGAGAAUCUUUGGUUUCUAUCCUUAGUGAAACUGUUGGCCAUAUUGGUAAUUUGACUGUGUACAGAUCAGUUGCUGUCUGUAAUGGCUGCAACAGUCUACACUCCUGCCAACAGAACAGAACCUUUGUUCUAUUACCACAUGCCUACAUUUGUCGUUUUAUAGCUUUUAGAAUUUUGCCAGUCUAAUAAGUGUAAAAUGAUAUGCACACUGUUUUAAUUUUCAUAUAUCUGAUUUUCAGUGAUUUUGAACACCUUAUCAUAUUUCUGCUACCUUUUUGAGUUUAUUCUCUAAAUCGCUUGUUCAUAUUCUCUAUCCAUUUUUCUAUUGGGUGUGCUAGUUUUAUCUUUCUGAUUUGCAAAAUACCCUUGUAUAUUCUAGAUAUUAACUCCUUGUUUGUUUUUUGUUUUUUGAAAUUUCAAAAUUCUUAUCAGCUUCCAUAAUUCUAUCAUGUAAUAAUUUUGUCAGAGAUGUCCUUAGUUUAACAGAACUUUGAUAUUUUGAAGUUACCAACAUAAUCAAUGUUUUCUUUUGCAUUUGUGCAGUUAGUUAAGGUCCUGAUUACAUUUUUCUCCAUACAGUGAGCUGGUUUAUCAAUCUUUUUCUUCCUUUGAUUUGUUUUGCUAUUAUGUUCCAUUUGUUCUAUUUAUUAUUAUUAUUUAGAGACAAGGUCUCUCUAUUUUGCCCAAACUGGAUUUGAACUCCUGGGUCAAACAGUCCUCCCACCUCAGCCUCUCAAGUAUCUGGGACUACAGACACAUGCCACUAUGCAGGGCUAGUCUAUUAUUCUUGAGGUAACUCCAUCAUUGCCUUUAUAGGGUUAACUUAGCUAUUCAUAGACCUUUAUUCAUCGAUAUAAAUUUUAGGCCAGCCACGGUGGCUCAUACCUGUAACCCUAGCACUUUGGGAGGCUGAGACAGGUGGAUCACCUGGGGUCAGGAAUCCGAGACCAGCCUGACCAACAUGGUGAAACCCCAUCUCUGCUAAAUACAAAAAGUUAGCUGGGCGUGGUGGCACAUGCCUGUAAUCCCAGCUACUUGGGAGGCUAAGGCAGGAGAAUAGCUUGAACCUGGGAGGUGGAGGUUGCAGUGAGCCGAGGUCGUGCCACUGCACUCCAGCCUGGGCAACAAGAUUGAAACUCCAUCUCAAAAAAAUAUAU